Molecule: transfer RNA, 81 nt
Filed under: Nocardiopsis exhalans
Lineage: Bacteria; Bacillati; Actinomycetota; Actinomycetes; Streptosporangiales; Nocardiopsidaceae
Also listed under: 1 other name
Description: tRNA-Arg
Rfam family: tRNA (bases 6-73)
About the family: Transfer RNA (tRNA) molecules are approximately 80 nucleotides in length. Their secondary structure includes four short double-helical elements and three loops (D, anti-codon, and T loops).
Source: RNAcentral
GCAUUCCGUGGCACGUACGGGCACGAAAGCAUCGGACUUCUAAUCCGACGGUCGCAGGUUCGAAUCCUGCCGGGUGCGCCA